RNAcentral lists this ribosomal RNA (448 nucleotides) under uncultured bacterium. RNAcentral's name for it is "bacterial SSU rRNA". It matches the Rfam family "Bacterial small subunit ribosomal RNA", at positions 330 to 794 of the family's 1533-position model. The record is from RNAcentral.
ACCAGACUCCUGCGGGAGGCAGCAGUGGGGGAUAUUGCACAAUGGGGGAAACCCUGAUGCAGCGACGCCGCGUGAGUGAAGAAGUAUUUCGGUAUGUAAAGCUCUAUCAGCAGGGAAGAAAAAAGACGGUACCUGACUAAGAAGCCCCGGCUAACUACGUGCCAGCAGCCGCGGUAAUACGUAGGGGGCAAGCGUUAUCCGGAUUUACUGGGUGUAAAGGGAGCGUAGACGGCAAUACAAGUCGGAAGUGAAAUACCCGGGCUCAACCUGGGAACUGCUUUGGAAACUGUAUGGCUGGAGUGCUGGAGAGGUAAGCGGAAUUCCUAGUGUAGCGGUGAAAUGCGUAGAUAUUAGGAGGAACACCAGUGGCGAAGGCGGCUUACUGGACAGUAACUGACGUUGAGGCUCGAAAGCGUGGGGAGCAAACAGGAUUAGAUACCCUGGUACA